Poecilia latipinna (sailfin molly) is the source of this 1878-nucleotide long non-coding RNA. RefSeq lists it as uncharacterized. NCBI's taxonomy places the organism in Eukaryota, Metazoa, Chordata, Actinopteri, Cyprinodontiformes, Poeciliidae. The transcript is spliced from 2 exons. The record is from RefSeq and is a predicted model, not a curated record.
AAGGCUCAAAUGAUUAGUUGUGAUGAAUCGAUUAUUAAAAUUCUUGUCAGCUAAUUUAGUAAAUAAUCGUUAACUGGAGCAUUCAGACUCUAAAAAGGCCAAUUACUGAAUAAUCAAUACAGCUGAUGAUAAUUAAAUCAGAUCUUUAGUUUCUCACAGGAUGUCGGUCACAUGACCGCUGAAGCAGCAGGUCAGGAUGGAGUUCACUUCCUGUUGCAGCGCCACCUGCUGGUCCCUCUGCUUCUGGUUCUGACCAACAGGUGGAGCUGCAGCUCCGACCCGCUGCUCAGGUGGACCCAGAGAGUGUGUUACUGUGUGUGUGUUACUGUGUGUGUAUUAGUGUGUGUAUUAGUGUGUGUGUGUGAGGGGGUUCUGCUCAUCCCUCGUUCAGUCGGUCAGAGCAGCAGCUGAAUCGAUGACAUCAUCCAUCCCCGCGGUGACAGAUGAUGCUGCGGAGGAGGAGGGGGUCGUUGCCGUGGUGAUAUCCCUGCCUGCGUGUGAUUGGCCGAGGCUGGCGGUGAUGUCACACAUCUCCAAGCUGCUGUGCCGAUCUUUGAACAGAGGCAGAGAUGGAGGCAGGCGGACGGAGGGGCAGCUUCAGCGCCAAUGAACGGAGAGAUGCUGCCCGGUUCUGAUCCGCAGCUCAACCACUCACCCUGCUGCCAGAACCAGAACCUGGAGGGGAUGCCGUUCGGGUGUCAGAGCUGAAUCUGUAGAGGGGAGGUCGUUUCACCUGAGGGCCGUCAUGGAGUGGGAGCAGCGGGGCAGAACCCGCUCGGAACCGCUGCUGGGCCGAGACCAGAUCCUGUGCUACAUUAACAUGCAGAGACCAGGUAGGGCCUGCGGAGGGCGCUCUGAUGGGUUCUACUGGGCUCUGGACCGGGUGACGCAGCAUCAGCUCUGCUGUCGUCAUGGUAACCGGCUCAUUUGGCUGAUGUCAUCGUUUAUCAGGAUUCCCCAAAUAAACAUUUCAUCUGGUUUUACAGCUUAAAGAAGGAAUCAAACUUUUCACUGUUGUUCCAUAAAAAAGCCUUAAGACGCCCACUUCCUGUCUCACUUCCUGUCUCACUUCCUGUCCCACUUCCUCAAACUUGACCACGAAAUCUGAUUCUGGUGGAAAAUGUCAGAUUAUUUUAAAUAUUGGUGAGUUUAUCACUAUGAAGCAGAAACGUUACAGUAACUGAAGCCGGAAUAUUUUCAUGUUUUACAUCUCAGAGCGACGGUUUGGUGACGAACAGAGCAGGACGGCUAGCAUCCAGCUAGCAUCUAGUUAGCGUCCAGCUAGCGUCUAGUUAGCGUCCAGCUAGCGUCUAGUUAGCGUCCAGCUAGCGUCUAGUUAGCGUCCAGCUAGCAUCUAGUUAGCGUCCAGCUAGCGUCUAGUUAGCGUCCAGCUAGCUGUCCUCUUGGCAUCAAACCGGCCUCAUGUCAACAUCUGAUGACAUCACUCUGUGUUUCCUGAUUGAUUUGCUCCAGACGUGUAGACAGAAUGGCGACUUUGCGGCAUUUUACAGUUUGCUCAGAAUUGGCGUGAGAUCUGGAUGUUACCAUGGUUACUAAGGAUUCAGAAAGGAGGAAGUGCCUCUGGCUUUCUCCUCCAAUCAGAGCUCAGAUCUUCUUAAUGUCCAGAAGAGACGAUUUAUCGGCUGGUUACCAUGGUUACUACUCAGAAUAACUUCUGUAAAGAUCCGAGUGUCACUUCCUGUCUGAAACCAACAACCUGGUUGAAUAAAACAUUUGAAUCCUGUUCUGUUCUGUGUGGACCAGUCAAAGUAAAACAGUUUUUAGUGAUCCAGCGGGUCAGAACAUCAGAUGAACAGUUUCCUCUGGCUGUUUUUAGAGCAAAUUUCUGUUUCAGAACGAGUCGUUCUAAAGGUCCCG